GCCUAAGUAACUCAAAAAGGAGUUAAAUUCCGAAAAAAUUACAGAUAUAGGUUAAAAUCCUAUCUAAGGCA
This 71-nucleotide transfer RNA is filed under the name Lophophysema eversa. Its description in RNAcentral is "tRNA-Phe". It matches the Rfam family "tRNA". From Rfam's summary of the family: Transfer RNA (tRNA) molecules are approximately 80 nucleotides in length. Lineage: Eukaryota; Metazoa; Porifera; Hexactinellida; Amphidiscosida; Hyalonematidae. The record is from RNAcentral.